GUCCGCUCUGGGUUAGUCGGGUCCUAAGCUGAGGCCGACAGGCGUAGGCGAUGGAUAACAGGUUGAUAUUCCUGUACCACCUAUAAUCGUUUUAAUCGAUGGGGGGACGCAGUAGGAUAGGCGAAGCGUGCGAUUGGAUUGCACGUCUAAGCAGUAAGGCUGAGUAUUAGGCAAAUCCGGUACUCGUUAAGGCUGAGCUGUGAUGGGGAGAAGACAUUGAGUCUUCGAGUCGUUGAUUUCACACUGCCGAGAAAAGCCUCUAGAUAGAAAAUAGGUGCCCGUACCGCAAACCGACACAGGUAGUCAAGAUGAGAAUUCUAAGGUGAGCGAGCGAACUCUCGUUAAGGAACUCGGCAAAAUGACCCCGUAACUUCGGGAGAAGGGGUGCUCUUUAGGGUUAACGCCCAGAAGAGCCGCAGUGAAUAGGCCCAAGCGACUGUUUAUCAAAAACACAGGUCUCUGCUAAACCGUAAGGUGAUGUAUAGGGGCUGACGCCUGCCCGGUGCUGGAAGGUUAAGAGGAGUGGUUAGCUUCUGCGAAGCUACGA
This 547-nucleotide ribosomal RNA is filed under the name Xanthomonas citri pv. citri. Its description in RNAcentral is "partial 23S ribosomal RNA". It matches the Rfam family "Bacterial large subunit ribosomal RNA", at positions 1368 to 1910 of the family's 2925-position model. Lineage: Bacteria; Pseudomonadati; Pseudomonadota; Gammaproteobacteria; Lysobacterales; Lysobacteraceae. The record is from RNAcentral.